This 321-nucleotide ribosomal RNA is filed under the name Clostridioides difficile. RNAcentral's name for it is "partial 23S ribosomal RNA". It matches the Rfam family "Bacterial large subunit ribosomal RNA", at positions 2602 to 2925 of the family's 2925-position model. The record is from RNAcentral. Lineage: Bacteria; Bacillati; Bacillota; Clostridia; Peptostreptococcales; Peptostreptococcaceae.
GAGCUGGGUUCAGAACGUCGUGAGACAGUUCGGUCCCUAUCCGUCGCAGGCGUAGGAAAUUUGAGAAGACCUGUCCUUAGUACGAGAGGACCGGGAUGGACGUACCUCUGGUGUACCAGUUGUCCUGCCAAGGGCAUGGCUGGGUAGCUAUGUACGGAAUGGAUAAGCGCUGAAAGCAUCUAAGCGCGAAGCCAACUUCAAGAUAAGAUUUCCCACCGCAAGGGUAAGACCCCAGAAAGACUAUCUGGUUGAUAGGUCGAAGGUGUAAGUGCAGCAAUGUAUUUAGCUUAUCGAUACUAAUAGGUCGAGGACUUGACCAAU